This 301-nucleotide ribosomal RNA is filed under the name uncultured bacterium. Its description in RNAcentral is "partial 16S ribosomal RNA". It matches the Rfam family "Bacterial small subunit ribosomal RNA", at positions 509 to 807 of the family's 1533-position model. The record is from RNAcentral.
CAGCAGCCGCGGUAAUACGGAGGGUGCAAGCGUUAAUCGGAAUUACUGGGCGUAAAGCGCACGCAGGCGGUCUGACAAGUCAGAUGUGAAAUCCCUGAGCUUAACUUAGGAAUUGCAUUCGAUACUGGGAAGCUAGAGUAUGGGAGAGGAUGGUAGAAUUCCAGGUGUAGCGGUGAAAUGCGUAGAGAUCUGGAGGAAUACCGAUGGCGAAGGCAGCCAUCUGGCCUAAUACUGACGCUGAGGUACGAAAGCAUGGGGAGCAAACAGGAUUAGAGACCCCAGUAGUCCCUGUCUCUUAUAC